RNAcentral lists this ribosomal RNA (433 nucleotides) under uncultured bacterium. RNAcentral describes it as "partial 16S ribosomal RNA". It matches the Rfam family "Bacterial small subunit ribosomal RNA", at positions 29 to 507 of the family's 1533-position model. The record is from RNAcentral.
AACGAACGCUGGCGGCAUGCCUAACACAUGCAAGUCGAACGAGACCUUCGGGUCUAGUGGCGCACGGGUGCGUAACGCGUGGGAACCUGCCUUUAGGUUCGGAAUAACUCAGAGAAAUUUGAGCUAAUACCGGAUGAUGUCUUCGGACCAAAGAUUUAUCGCCUUUAGAUGGGCCCGCGUUGGAUUAGCUAGUUGGUGGGGUAAAGGCCUACCAAGGCGACGAUCCAUAGCUGGUCUGAGAGGAUGAUCAGCCACACUGGGACUGAGACACGGCCCAGACUCCUACGGGAGGCAGCAGUGGGGAAUAUUGGACAAUGGGCGAAAGACUGAUCCAGCAAUGCCGCGUGAGUGAUGAAGGCCUUAGGGUUGUAAAGCUCUUUUAACCGAGAUGAUAAUGACAGUAUCGGGAGAAUAAGCUCCGGCUAACUCCGUG